Molecule: non-coding RNA, 911 nt
Organism: Urocitellus parryii (Arctic ground squirrel)
Lineage: Eukaryota; Metazoa; Chordata; Mammalia; Rodentia; Sciuridae
Source: the annotation of a RefSeq genome assembly
CCAGGGAAGAAGGCAUGCUGUGGGCUCUAGCCCUACUUCUAGCCACCCUGCCUCCUGGCAGUCAAACAUCUUCCAGUUUGGAAAGGAGAAUGAUGUCAUUCAGGAGAACAACUGGGUCCACUGCAGUAAUUACUUGUGAUUUUGCUGAAGAAAGAAAUUUCAUCCACUGGUACCAACUCAAGGAGGGGAAGGCCCCACAACACCUUCUCUUCCAUGACUUUUACAAUUCCAAGAUUGUGAUGGACUCAGGACUCGAUCCAGUGAAAUACCAUGUGUAUGAAGGCACAGGCCAGAGAUAUAAAUUCACAGUGCGAAAUCUGGAAGAGAGUGAUUCUGCUGAGUAUUACUGUGCCUACUGGAAGGAUUAUUGGGAGUAUAUGUUUGGUGCUGGCACAAAGCUCAUCAUUUCAGAUAAAAGCUCUGACGCAGAAAUUUCCCCCAAGCCCACCAUUUUUCUUCCUUCAGUUGUUGAAAUAGACCGCCAUAAGGCCGGGACCCAUCUUUGUGUUCUUGAGAAUUUUUCCCCUGAUGUCAUUAAGGUAUACUGGAAAGAGAAGUAUGGUGAAAGUAUUCUGGAAUCCCAGGAGGGAGACACUAUAAAGACUGAUGACACAUACAUGAAGAUGAGCUGGCUAACYGUGACUGGAGAGUCAAUGGAUAAAGAGCACAGGUGUAUCGUCAAACACGAGAAUAAUAAAGGUGGAGUUGAUCAAGAGAUUCUCUUUCCUGCGAUAAAGAAAGGUACAUCUUGCUUUAAAGAUAUAUAUGAUGAAAUGAGGCUGCAGUUCACAUACACCUCYGCCUACUGCACCUACCUCCUUCUGCUUCUCAAGAGUGUGGUCUACUUGGCCAUYGUCACCUUCUGUCUGCUAAGAAGAACAGCUGUCUGCAGCAAUGGGAAGAGCUCCUAA